RNAcentral lists this ribosomal RNA (500 nucleotides) under uncultured bacterium. RNAcentral's name for it is "partial 16S ribosomal RNA". It matches the Rfam family "Bacterial small subunit ribosomal RNA", at positions 30 to 523 of the family's 1533-position model. The record is from RNAcentral.
AUUGAACGCUGGCGGCAUGCCUUACACAUGCAAGUCGAACGGCAGCACGGGAGCAAUCCUGGUGGCGAGUGGCGAACGGGUGAGUAAAGUAUCGGAACGUGCCCAGUCGUGGGGGAUUACGUAGCGAAAGUUACGCUAAUACCGCAUACGAUCUAUGGAUGAAAGCGGGGGAUCGCAAGACCUCGCGCGAUUGGAGCGGCCGAUAUCAGAUUAGGUAGUUGGUGGGGUAAAGGCUCACCAAGCCGACGAUCUGUAGCUGGUCUGAGAGGACGACCAGCCACACUGGGACUGAGACACGGCCCAGACUCCUACGGGAGGCAGCAGUGGGGAAUUUUGGACAAUGGGCGAAAGCCGGAUCCAGCCAUGCCGCGUGCAGGAUGAAGGCCUUCGGGUUGUAAACUGCUUUUGUACGGAACGAAAAGGUUUGGCCUAAUAAGCUGAGCUCAUGACGGUACCGUAAGAAUAAGCACCGGCUAACUACGUGCCAGCAGCCGCAGUAA